RNAcentral lists this long non-coding RNA (1135 nucleotides) under Malus domestica (apple). RNAcentral describes it as "long non-coding RNA (MDOM_LNC010555)". The record is from RNAcentral. Lineage: Eukaryota; Viridiplantae; Streptophyta; Magnoliopsida; Rosales; Rosaceae.
UGAUUUAAAAAAAGGUUUACAUCAAUUUUUCAGAUUCAGAAGAAAAACAAAUGGAGAACUACACAGGUAGGAUAAUUCGAAAACAAAACCAUUGGAUCUAAAACUAUUGCCUAGUUGUUCCGUGAAUGUUCGAACUAAAACAAUAAAACCCAAAUGAAAUAUUCAAAAAUUGAUUCCAAAGUCCUUACCUUGAGGAGGAAGACGAAUGCCAAAAACUAGAGAAGCAAAUUGGGGAAGGAAGGAUAUAGAAAGAGAUAGUGACUGCCCCGACCCUCUCUCUCUGUCCCUGUAAUUGUGCACCCAAACCAUAUGGAAAAUACAACCGUCAAAAAAGGAAAUGAAUGGCACAUUCAACAGUGAGAUAAGGAGUUGUAACCUAUAUUCAUAUUACACAUAAGCAACAAUAUAGGAAAAGAUGUAGAAGAUUUUAUAAAAGUGUAGAGAAAUGAUAACCUAUGCAUGUAUACCACAUUUUGUUGAAAUGGUUGAAGAUCCAUUUGAAUCAAAAUAGAAAGGUAUAUGCAAUGUUUAACACCCAAACCACCCUUAUCACUUUUAUACCCUGUUGUGGUGUCAGAAGCUUCUCAUUUUCUUAGUAUGAAGCUUAUUUUGUGGGAAAAAAUUAUAAUAAUAAUAACAGUAGUCACUCAAAAAGUAAAGGAGAUUACCAAGCAAAUGACUUUUAGGUUCUGAAUGGUUUACUUAUUCCCAUCCAGUUGGUGCGAAGACUUUGUUUGUUUCAUGUUUGGUGAUGCACAAACUCUCACAAAUGGUGUUCCUCACAACCAACUCUGCUACUAACAAACUGCAAUAACAGAAAGUACAUCAUAUGAAAGUAGUUAAAUAAAUUUGUUUAAUCGUAGGUCAUAAAGCUCGAAACUUAAUGCAAAAAAACAUUCAGAACCUCAAAUAGAGAACAAAACAUCUACAUUGACAAUAACAACCCCAAACAAUGAACGAAACAUUGAAAUGAAAUCAAAUCAUGUGAUACAUUUUGAGGUCAAUGAGAAUGAAAUGAGAUUAUGUACCCUACAAUGGACUGAAAACUGCUCAAUGAGAAUAAAACAAAGCAAAAAAUAUAAGCAAAAACUUCAUGACAAAAACUGGGUUCCAAAGCACAGCUCAAAUUGUAAUG